CCUACGGGGGGCAGCAGUGAGGAAUAUUGGUCAAUGGCCGAGAGGCGGAACCAGCCAAGUCGCGGGAGGGAAGACGGCCCUACGGGUGGUAAACCUCUUUUGUCGGGGAGCAAAGCGAGGCACGUGUGACCCAUUGAGAGUACCCGAAGAAAAAGCAUCGGCUAACUCCGUGCCAGCAGCCGCGGUAAUACGGAGGAUGCGAGCGUUAUCCGGAUUUAUUGGGGUUAAAGGGUGCGCAGGCGGAGGUGCAAGUCAGCGGUCAAAUUGCGGGGCUCAACCCCGUACUGUCGUUGAAACUGCAUCCCUUGAUUGCGCGAGAAGUAUGCGGAAUGCGUGGUGUAGCGGUGACAUGCCUAGCU
RNAcentral lists this ribosomal RNA (359 nucleotides) under uncultured bacterium. RNAcentral describes it as "partial 16S ribosomal RNA". It matches the Rfam family "Bacterial small subunit ribosomal RNA", at positions 338 to 695 of the family's 1533-position model. The record is from RNAcentral.